AGAGUUUGAUCCUGGCUCAGGAUGAACGCUGGCGGCGUGCUUAACACAUGCAAGUCGAACGAAGCAUUUACACGGAAUCCCUCGGGAGGAAGUGUGAAUGACUGAGUGGCGGACGGGUGAGUAACGCGUGGGCAACCUGCCCCGUACCGGGGGAUAACAGCCGGAAACGGCUGCUAAUACCGCAUAUGCUUUGCGGGCCGCAUGGCCCGCAAAGCAAAACUCCGGUGGUACGGGAUGGGCCCGCGUCUGAUUAGCUGGUUGGCGGGGUAACGGCCCACCAAGGCGACGAUCAGUAGCCGGCCUGAGAGGGCGGCCGGCCACAUUGGGACUGAGACACGGCCCAGACUCCUGCGGGAGGCAGCAGUGGGGAAUAUUGCACAAUGGGGGAAACCCUGAUGCAGCGACGCCGCGUGGGCGAGGAAGUACCUCGGUAUGUAAAGCCCUAUCAGCAGGGAAGAAACAAGACAGUACCUGACUAAGAAGCCCCGGCUAACUACGUGCCAGCAGCCGCGGUAAUACGUAGGGGGCAAGCGUUAUCCGGAUUCACUGGGCGUAAAGGGAGCGCAGGCGGCAUGGCAAGUCUGAUGUGAAAACCCGGGGCCCAACCCCGGGAGUGCAUUGGAAACUGCCAGGCUGGAGUGUCGGAGGGGUAAGCGGUAUUCCUAGUGUAGCGGUGAAAUGCGUAGAUAUUAGGAGGAACACCAGUGGCGGAGGCGGCUUACUGGACGGUAACUGACGCUGAGGCUCGAAAGCGUGGGGAGCAAACAGGAUUAGAUACCCUGGUAGUCCACGCCGUAAACGAUGAAUACUAGGUACAGGGGCACAAAAGUGCUUCUGUGCCGCAGCUAACGCAAUAAGUAUUCCACCUGGGGAGUACGCCGGCAACGGUGAAACUCAAAGGAAUUGACGGGGGCCCGCACAAGCGGAGGAACAUGUGGUUUAAUUCGAUGAUACGCGAGGAACCUUACCCGGGCUCAAACGACAGACGGAUACUUUUGAAAGGAGGUAGCUCUUCGGAGCGUCUGUCGAGGUGCUGCAUGGUUGUCGUCAGCUCGUGCCGUGAGGUGUCGGCUUAAGUGCCAUAACGAGCGCAACCCCCAUCUACAGUUGCCAUCGAGUGAAGUCGGGCACUCUGUAGAGACUGCCGGCGCAAGCUGCGAGGAAGGCGGGGAUGACGUCAAAUCAGCACGGCCCUUACGUCCGGGGCGACACACGUGUUACAAUGGCAGGUACAGCGGGAAGCCACCUGGCGACAGGGAGCGGAACCCGAAAACCUGUCUCAGUUCGGAUUGGAGUCUGCAACUCGACUCCAUGAAGCUGGAUUCGCUAGUAAUCGCGCAUCAGCCAUGGCGCGGUGGAUACGUUCCCGGGCCUUGCACACACCGCCCGUCA
This 1392-nucleotide ribosomal RNA is filed under the name uncultured bacterium. Its description in RNAcentral is "partial 16S ribosomal RNA". It matches the Rfam family "Bacterial small subunit ribosomal RNA". The record is from RNAcentral.